Molecule: ribosomal RNA, 253 nt
Filed under: uncultured bacterium
Lineage: Bacteria
Description: partial 16S ribosomal RNA
Rfam family: Bacterial small subunit ribosomal RNA
Source: RNAcentral
GACGUAGGGUGCGAGCGUUGUCCGGAUUUCUUGGGCGUAAAGGGCUCGUAGGCGGCCAACUAAGUCAGACGUGAAAUCCCUCAGCUUAACUGGGGAACUGCGUCUGAUACUGGAUGGCUUGGAUUCGGGAGAGGAAUGCGGAAUUCCUGGUGUAGCGGUGAAAUGCGCAGAUAUCAGGAAGAACACCAAUGGCGAAAGCAGCUUUCUGGGACGGUACUGACGCUGAGACGCGAAAGCGUGGGGAGCGAACAGG